GUAACACGUAAGUAACCUGCCUUUAAGACGAGGAUAACAACCGGAAGGUUACUAAGACUGGAUAGGAAACAAAAAGGCAUCUUUUUGUUUUUAAAAGACCUUCUUACGAAGGUAUGCUUAAAGAGGGGCUUGCGCCACAUUAGUUAGUUGGUAGAGUAAAAGCCUACCAAGACGAUGAUGUGUAGCUGGACUGAGAGGUUGAACAGCCACAUUGGGACUGAGACACGGCCCAAACUCCUACGGGAGGCAGCAGUAGGGAAUUUUCGGCAAUGGAGGAAACUCUGACCGAGCAACGCCGCGUGAACGAUGAAGUAUUUCGGUAUGUAAAGUUCUUUUAUUGAAGAAGAAAAAGUAGUGGAAAAACUAUAUUGACGUUAUUCAAUGAAUAAGCCCCGGCUAACUAUGUGCCAGCAGCCGCGGUAAGACAUAGGGGGCGAGCGUUAUCCGGAAUUAUUGGGCGUAAAGGGUGCGUAGGCUGUUAGAUAAGUCUAUAAUUUAAUUUCAGUGCUUAACGCUGUCUUGUUAUAGAAACUGUCUUGACUAGAGUGAGAUAGAGGCAAGCGGAAUUCCAUGUGUAGCGGUAAAAUGUGUAAAUAUAUGGAGGAACACCAGAAGCGUAGGCGGCUUGCUGGGUCUUUACUGACGCUGAGGCACGAAAGCGUGGGUAGCAAACAGGAUUAGAUACCCUGGUAGUCCACGCCGUAAACGAUGAGUACUAAGUGUCGGGGUAAAACUCGGUACUGAAGUUAACACAUUAAGUACUCCGCCUGAGUAGUACGUACGCAAGUAUGAAACUUAAAGGAAUUGACGGGACUCCGCACAAGCGGUGGAUCAUGUUGUUUAAUUCGAAGAUACACGAAAAAUCUUACCAGGUCUUGACAUACUCUGCAAAGCUAUAGAAAUAUAGUGGAGGUUAUCAGGGAUACAGGUGGUGCAUGGUUGUCGUCAGUUCGUGUCGUGAGAUGUUAGGUUAAGUCCUAAAACGAACGCAACCCUUGUCGUUAAUUGCCAGCACAUAAUGGUGGGGACUUUAACGAGACUGCCAAUUAAACAUUGGAGGAAGGUGAGGAUUACGUCAAAUCAUCAUGCCCCUUAUGAUCUGGGCUACAAACGUGAUACAAUGGCUGUGACAAAGAGUAGCUGAAACGCGAGUUUUUAGCCAAUCUCAAAAAAGCAGUCUCAGUUCGGAUUGAAGUCUGUAACUCGACUUCAUGAAGUUGGAAUCGCUAGUAAUCGCGAAUCAGCAUGUCGCGGUGAAUACGUUCUCGGGGUUUGUACACACCGCCCGUCAAACCACGAAAGUUAGCAAUGCCCGAAAGCAGUAGCUU
RNAcentral lists this ribosomal RNA (1328 nucleotides) under Brinjal little leaf phytoplasma. RNAcentral describes it as "bacterial SSU rRNA". It matches the Rfam family "Bacterial small subunit ribosomal RNA", at positions 110 to 1436 of the family's 1533-position model. Lineage: Bacteria; Bacillati; Mycoplasmatota; Mollicutes; Acholeplasmatales; Acholeplasmataceae. The record is from RNAcentral.